GGUUAAGCGACUAAGCGUAUACGGUGGAUGCCUUGGCAGUCAGAGGCGAUGAAGGACGUAGUAACUUGCGAAAAGCGUUGGCGAGCUAGUAACAAGCAUUUGAGCUAACGAUGUCCGAAUGGGGGAACCCGGCCGCAUAAGCGGUCAUCAUGUAGUGAAUACAUAGCUACAUGAGGCGAACGAGGGGAACUGAAACAUCUAAGUACCCUUAGGAAAAGAAAUCAACCGAGAUUCCCCUAGUAGCGGCGAGCGAACGGGGAUUAGCCC
Molecule: ribosomal RNA, 267 nt
Filed under: Shewanella putrefaciens
Lineage: Bacteria; Pseudomonadati; Pseudomonadota; Gammaproteobacteria; Alteromonadales; Shewanellaceae
Description: partial 23S ribosomal RNA
Rfam family: Bacterial large subunit ribosomal RNA
Source: RNAcentral